This 72-nucleotide transfer RNA is filed under the name Aureococcus anophagefferens. It matches the Rfam family "tRNA". From Rfam's summary of the family: Transfer RNA (tRNA) molecules are approximately 80 nucleotides in length. Their secondary structure includes four short double-helical elements and three loops (D, anti-codon, and T loops). The record is from Rfam by way of RNAcentral. Lineage: Eukaryota; Pelagophyceae; Pelagomonadales; Pelagomonadaceae.
GCUCCGGUGGCUCAGUGGUAGAGCAUGACACUAGUAAUGUCAAGGUCCGUGGUUCGAUCCCGCGUCGGAGCU